This 253-nucleotide ribosomal RNA is filed under the name uncultured bacterium. RNAcentral describes it as "partial 16S ribosomal RNA". It matches the Rfam family "Bacterial small subunit ribosomal RNA", at positions 524 to 776 of the family's 1533-position model. The record is from RNAcentral.
UACGUAGGGGGCUAGCGUUGUCCGGAAUCAUUGGGCGUAAAGCGCGUGUAGGCGGUUCGGUAAGUCCGCUGUGAAAGUCGGGGGCUCAACCCUCGGAUGCCGGUGGAUACUGUCGGACUAGAGUACGGAAGAGGCGAGUGGAAUUCCUGGUGUAGCGGUGAAAUGCGUAGAGAUCCGGAGGAAGACCGGUGGCGAAGGCGGUCUGCUGGGCAGUUUCUGACACUGAGGCGCGACAGCGUGGGGAGCAAACAGG